AUACGGAAGGCAGCAGUGAGGAAUCUUGCGCAAUGGGCGAAAGCCUGACGCAGCGACGCCGCGUGAGUGAUGAAGGCCUUCGGGUUGUAAAGCUCUGUGGAGAGGGACGAAUAAGGGUUGGCUAACAUCCAGCUUGAUGACGGUACCUCUUUAGCAAGCACCGGCUAACUCUGUGCCAGCAGCCGCGGUAAGACAGAGGGUGCAAACGUUGUUCGGAAUUACUGGGCGUAAAGCGCGUGUAGGCUGCCUUGCAAGUCGGGUGUGAAAGCCCUGGGCUCAACCUAGGAAGUGCACUCGAAACUGCAAGGCUGGAGUCCUGGAGAGGAAGGCGGAAUUCUCGGUGUAGAGGUGAAAUUCGUAGAUAUCGAGAGGAACACCGGUGGCGAAGGCGGCCUUCUGGACAGUGACUGACGCUGAGACGCGAAAGCGUGGGGAGCAAACAGGAUUAGAUACCCGUGUAGUCCU
RNAcentral lists this ribosomal RNA (465 nucleotides) under uncultured bacterium. Its description in RNAcentral is "bacterial SSU rRNA". It matches the Rfam family "Bacterial small subunit ribosomal RNA", at positions 339 to 797 of the family's 1533-position model. The record is from RNAcentral.